RNAcentral lists this long non-coding RNA (2743 nucleotides) under Olea europaea subsp. europaea. Lineage: Eukaryota; Viridiplantae; Streptophyta; Magnoliopsida; Lamiales; Oleaceae. The record is from RNAcentral.
UUAAAAAUUAAAUCUGAACGACUUCACCAAACACGCAGUUCGGGUGUGUUGUGUUUGUCAACUUUUCAACAUUUCCGAAGGAUGGGGCUUUGGAAUAAAUACGCGUACAUUGACCACGAUCGAGAAGACGCCAAAACGAGUGUUCGUACUAGCUCGCAUUUUAAAUUCUGAUUCUUUUUUCACAUUAUGAGAACAAUCAAAAUUUGUAAAUAUAUAUACAUCAGUAGAGUCUUUCUAGCAGUGGCCUUCAUUCAGUUUUGAUUUUCUGACAAGAAUCAAGUUUGACUGGUAUAUCUGUGAAUAGGUCUUCUUUUAUUUUUAUUUUAAACAUUUGAACUGUCAUAGAAGUUAUCUGAAGGUUUGAUUUUUUUAUUUUUAGAAGCUUUCUCAUGUGGGCUUGUGUUAUUUUCUUGUUGAAUGAAGUGGUUAAGAAGAAAUUAUUGGUGUUUGAGAUGUAACUGCUGCUUAUUAGGUUUUGGUUUCUGAGUUUUUUUUGUUUCCUUUUAUUUUCCUGAAAUAGAUUAGUUUUCUUUUAUGGGUUUGAUGAAUUUAAGUAUGUGAUUAAUGGGAAGGAUUCUUGAUUUUGUGUUUGGGGUGACUUGAUAUUGUGAUUCAAGUAAUAUAAAUAAGAAAUUUCUUUCCGAACAAUUUGGGUUUCUACUGGAAUUUCUUGUUCUUAGAAUUCAGUAUGAUUUUGGGUUUUUAUUUACCGCAUUGUGUUUGGGUUUGUGAGUUUUAUCCUCGAAAUUAUUUUAAUUCGGUAUCUUUUGCAUAAUUCAAUUAAUGGCACUGCUCGAAAAUCUGAAGGAAUUAUGAGUUGAUGAAAAUCAACUAUGGCUAUCUUUAACUGAUUCACCCCGGACCUAAUUACUAGCAGAUUCAAAAGCCUUUGAAGCUGCUAUGUCAUUUGGCAGUGCUUAUUGUGUACUUCAAUUUGGAGAGUACUUUUCUGAGACUUCAGUUAACCUUAACUCAAUAAGUGAUAGCUGGGAUUGAUCUUGAUCGAUUUUAGCACUUCUAGACCUUGAUUUAUUAUAUUACCAACUUCUGGAGUUUUGAGUUCUCUGCUCAUACAACAUUACUGCGUUGUGGACUAUUGUUAUCUGAAAUUCUAGAUGGUUUUUGGGAUUUAGUAUUGAGAAUGGCUCGAUUAUAUUUUGGUCUUGAAAGAUGGAAUCUUUUUGCAGUUUUUCAUUAAGAGUGGCUUUUGUUCUCUUCAGUGUAUUAUUGAUAUUGCAAUCACCAAGAGUAUUUACUUCUGGGUCGUUGAGAAAUAGCAAGGCUUGUGGAACUUAGUGCAUUAGCUAUUCAGGUGAUCCUAAUUGGGAAUUGUCUUACAUAGAUGGAAAAUUGGUAGAGAAAUANNNNNNNNNNNNNNNNNNNNNNNNNNNNNNNUAUUAGGUUUUGGUUUCUGAGUUUUUUUUGUUUCCUUUUAUUUUCCUGAAAUAGAUUAGUUUUCUUUUAUGGGUUUGAUGAAUUUAAGUAUGUGAUUAAUGGGAAGGAUUCUUGAUUUUGUGUUUGGGGUGACUUGAUAUUGUGAUUCAAGUAAUAUAAAUAAGAAAUUUCUUUCCGAACAAUUUGGGUUUCUACUGGAAUUUCUUGUUCUUAGAAUUCAGUAUGAUUUUGGGUUUUUAUUUACCGCAUUGUGUUUGGGUUUGUGAGUUUUAUCCUCGAAAUUAUUUUAAUUCGGUAUCUUUUGCAUAAUUCAAUUAAUGGCACUGCUCGAAAAUCUGAAGGAAUUAUGAGUUGAUGAAAAUCAACUAUGGCUAUCUUUAACUGAUUCACCCCGGACCUAAUUACUAGCAGAUUCAAAAGCCUUUGAAGCUGCUAUGUCAUUUGGCAGUGCUUAUUGUGUACUUCAAUUUGGAGAGUACUUUUCUGAGACUUCAGUUAACCUUAACUCAAUAAGUGAUAGCUGGGAUUGAUCUUGAUCGAUUUUAGCACUUCUAGACCUUGAUUUAUUAUAUUACCAACUUCUGGAGUUUUGAGUUCUCUGCUCAUACAACAUUACUGCGUUGUGGACUAUUGUUAUCUGAAAUUCUAGAUGGUUUUUGGGAUUUAGUAUUGAGAAUGGCUCGAUUAUAUUUUGGUCUUGAAAGAUGGAAUCUUUUUGCAGUUUUUCAUUAAGAGUGGCUUUUGUUCUCUUCAGUGUAUUAUUGAUAUUGCAAUCACCAAGAGUAUUUACUUCUGGGUCGUUGAGAAAUAGCAAGGCUUGUGGAACUUAGUGCAUUAGCUAUUCAGGUGAUCCUAAUUGGGAAUUGUCUUACAUAGAUGGAAAAUUGGUAGAGAAAUAUUUUCCUGUAAGGCUCUAGAAACGUGAAAUGCAAAACACUGUUUCCUCACCAGAAAUCUCAGCACGUGUUAUUUAUUUAUUUAUUUAUCUAUUUUUUUUUUAUUAUUAUUAUUAUUAUUAUUAUUAUUAUUAUUAUUAUUAUUAUUUUAUUUAUUUAUUUAUUUUUGUUAGAACAUGUACAUUUGGGAGGUGAUGUUCCUCAGGAAAUAUUCAAUAUUCAAUGGACAUUGUUAAAUUGCUUAAAUUAUGUUAUUUUGCUGAGACCUUAUUUUUAAAGUUAGCACCUUUUUGUUAUAUUGUAGAAGAGGAGCCUUCGGAAUCUUGAAGAAAACUUUUGCAGAACUUAAUUAGAGAAGGAUCUACAGAAAACGGUGUUCAACAAAAAUCUCAGGGAAGAAAGGAUAGAUAUGCUAGCAAUUCUAAAUUGACCUCAAAAGGGUUGUACAUGGC